RNAcentral lists this ribosomal RNA (253 nucleotides) under uncultured bacterium. RNAcentral describes it as "partial 16S ribosomal RNA". It matches the Rfam family "Bacterial small subunit ribosomal RNA", at positions 524 to 776 of the family's 1533-position model. The record is from RNAcentral.
UACGUAGGGUGCGAGCGUUAAUCGGAAUUACUGGGCGUAAAGCGUGCGCAGGCGGUUCGUUGUGUCGGCGGUGAAAGCCCCGGGCUUAACCUGGGAAUGGCCGUUGAAACUGGCGAACUGGAGUGUGGCAGAGGGGGGUGGAAUUCCGCGUGUAGCAGUGAAAUGCGUAGAGAUGCGGAGGAACACCGAUGGCGAAGGCAGCUCUCUGGGACGGUACUGACGCUGAGACGCGAAAGCGUGGGGAGCGAACAGG